AUUACUGUGGCUUAGUGGUUUGAGUAUUGGACUAUGACUCUGGAGACCAGGGUUCAAUUCCAAGUUCUGCCAUG
This is a non-coding RNA of Phrynosoma platyrhinos (Desert horned lizard), 74 nucleotides long. NCBI's taxonomy places the organism in Eukaryota, Metazoa, Chordata, Lepidosauria, Squamata, Phrynosomatidae. The record is from the annotation of a GenBank genome assembly.